CUACGUGCCAGCAGCCGCGGUAAUACGUAGGUGGCAAGCGUUGUCCGGAAUUAUUGGGCGUAAAGCGCGCGCAGGCGGAUCAGUCAGUCUGUCUUAAAAGUUCGGGGCUUAACCCCGUGAUGGGAUGGAAACUGCUGAUCUAGAGUAUCGGAGAGGAAAGUGGAAUUCCUAGUGUAGCGGUGAAAUGCGUAGAUAUUAGGAAGAACACCAGCGGCGAAGGCGACUUUCUGGACGAAAACUGACGCUGAGGCGCGAAAGCCAGGGGAGCGAACGGGAUUAGAUACCCCGGUAGUCCUGGCCGUAAACGAUGGGUACUAGGUGUAGGAGGUAUCGACCCCUUCUGUGCCGGAGUUAACGCAAUAAGUACCCCGCCUGGGGAGUACGACCGCAAGGUUGAAACUCAAAGGAAUUGACGGGGGCCCGCACAAGCGGUGGAGUAUGUGGUUUAAUUCGACGCAACGCGAAGAACCUUACCAGGUCUUGACAU
Molecule: ribosomal RNA, 487 nt
Filed under: uncultured bacterium
Lineage: Bacteria
Description: bacterial SSU rRNA
Rfam family: Bacterial small subunit ribosomal RNA
Source: RNAcentral